This 275-nucleotide ribosomal RNA is filed under the name uncultured prokaryote. RNAcentral describes it as "partial 16S ribosomal RNA". It matches the Rfam family "Bacterial small subunit ribosomal RNA", at positions 524 to 798 of the family's 1533-position model. The record is from RNAcentral.
UACGUAGGUGGCAAGCGUUAUCCGGAAUUACUGGGCGUAAAGGGCGCGUAGGCGGGAUCUUAAGUCAGGUGUGAAAACUCCGGGCUCAACCUGGAGAUUGCACUUGAAACUGAGAUUCUUGAGGACAGGAGAGGGAAGUGGAAUUCCUAGUGUAGCGGUGAAAUGCGUAGAUAUUAGGAGGAACACCAGUGGCGAAGGCGACUUCCUGGACUGCACCUGACGCUGAGGCGCGAAAGCGUGGGUAGCGAACGGGAUUAGAUACCCCUGUAGUCCCU